CUGAUUUUGAAGAUAAGAGUAUUACACAGUAUCUUAAAUCAGAAAUACGCUACAGGAAUGAUGAAAGUUUACUAUGGGAAAUUGGUAGUAUAUUCUAUCCAAGGGUCAGCCUAAUCUCAUAUGCUAUCAAGGGACAAUGUCCAAUCCUAAAAAGACAGAAAUAAGAUGUAAUAUGAGUGCCAAUAAGGCAACUCUCAAUCCAAGUCACCAUGCGUUAAAAGUAAACAAUUAUGGAUCAAAGUACAGCAUUCAACACGGAGCCUUGGCUCACACAGAACAUCAAUCUAUAAAUUGCCCGA
This 299-nucleotide long non-coding RNA is filed under the name Mytilus galloprovincialis (Mediterranean mussel). Lineage: Eukaryota; Metazoa; Mollusca; Bivalvia; Mytilida; Mytilidae. The record is from RNAcentral.